GACGAACGCUGGCGGCGUGCUUAACACAUGCAAGUCGAACAGUAAGGCCCCAGCUUGCUGGGGUACACGAGUGGCGAACGGGUGAGUAACACGUGGGUGACCUGCCCCGCACUUCGGGAUAAGCCUGGGAAACUGGGUCUAAUACCGGAUAGGACCGCACCGUGAGGGUGUGGUGGAAAGUUUUUCGGUGUGGGAUGGGCCCGCGGCCUAUCAGCUUGUUGGUGGGGUAAUGGCCUACCAAGGCGGCGACGGGUAGCCGGCCUGAGAGGGUGGACGGCCACAUUGGGACUGAGACACGGCCCAGACUCCUACGGGAGGCAGCAGUGGGGAAUAUUGCACAAUGGGCGGAAGCCUGAUGCAGCGACGCCGCGUGGGGGAUGACGGCCUUCGGGUUGUAAACUCCUUUCACCAUCGACGAAGGUUUUCUGACGGUAGAUGGAGAAGAAGCACCGGCUAACUACGUG
Molecule: ribosomal RNA, 464 nt
Filed under: uncultured bacterium
Lineage: Bacteria
Description: partial 16S ribosomal RNA
Rfam family: Bacterial small subunit ribosomal RNA
Source: RNAcentral